Molecule: long non-coding RNA, 7631 nt
Filed under: Lathyrus oleraceus (garden pea)
Lineage: Eukaryota; Viridiplantae; Streptophyta; Magnoliopsida; Fabales; Fabaceae
Description: Pisum sativum (pea) long non-coding RNA (PSAT_LNC021795)
Source: RNAcentral
AAAGAUGCAUAAAGUGGAUCAAUUUUAUUAUCAGGUGGUGAUGGAUUAUGAGGAGCAAAAUGAUGAAAAAUACGAUGAAGAUGAUGAACAAGAUCAGGAGGAAGAUGAGGAACAAUUUUAUUAACAGAAGCAGAAAGUCCAUGAGGAACAAGGAUAAGGGAAGCAAGGAACAACACUUGUAAGGAUUGGAAAAAGGAGGCCAUAUUUGAAGUUGUGAUUUGUGUGUGCAUAACAUAUAUGGGAUAACCAAGUUUUAUACUAAUCAAGUGCAUAACACUCUUAGGUUUCCAUUGGAUUUUUCUGUGUUGAUUAUUCAAAAAUGUACAACUAUUAUGGCCCAUCGGGUUGUUACAAGUUAUCACUCUAACCAUUAAUGACGACAUGGUUUUAAAAUUGUAUAAUUGCUACGGAAGUUAAUUGACUAGCUUAUUAUUUCUGUCCAUUACUUUCUAUUCCGUAUUCUCCAUCAAAAAUAAUUGCAAGCAAAAUAUUUGUACUAUUUCCAUCGUUUGGUAUAUUAUCUUUCUUGUCCCUAUGUCACUAAGAAAUAAUUUAUUGUUCACAUUUUGAAAUGAUAUCAUUAAAAAAUGGAGGGUCUUAUAGUAUGUGAAAUUUUGUUGAAUCCAGUUCCAAAUAUUCACAAGACAAAAUCAAUUUAACAAUUAAAUGUAAUUUUAAAAUAUUAAAUAUAAAAAAAAAUAUUAUUAAAUGGUUAGAUGUAACCAAACUCUAAAUUAUCAAUUUUUAUGUUAAAUGUAAAAAUAUUUUAAGCCAUUAAACUUUUUUAUAAAUGAAUGUAAAUAAAGAGGCUAGAAAUAACCUAAUUGGAGUACCUUUGUAGCAGUUUUAGUUCCUCCAAAUAAAGCAUCAUGCCAUGCUGACAAGAUCUGGCUUGCCUCUAGGUACACUACAAGAAAAAUGAUAAGUUAUUUUUGAAAGGUUACGCCAUUUUGAACCAUAUCAAUAGUUGCGUCACAAAGGUUGUGGUUCUGAAACAAAAUUACUUAUAGUUUUCUUUCAACUUUCUUUCAUAUUUGUCCAUUUUUCAAAACAACAAAUUGAUAUUUCAAUAUUGUUAUUUAAUUAAUCUUGUGUUUAAAGAUUUGUAUGUGUUAACUAACUCAUAGAUUGAACCUAUGUUUGUAGGGAUCAAUGACCCUAAAUCAAUGAACUUGAACUGUAUUAACUGUUCAACUUGGUAAUUUAUUUAGGAAUAAAUAAUUUAAAAUUGUGAUUUAAGGUUUAACGUACCAUAUUUGUCUAUUUUAACUUCAAACUUAUCUAAGAGAUUAUGGAGCUGUCAUGUAAAAUAGUGAGUUACAUACCAAGAAAAUGAGUUUUAUUAAUAUAAUUAGUGUACAAUUUUUAAUUAAAAAUCAAAAUAAAAUAUUGACGUCUAAAUUUAGAGAUAUCACCACGGUCCUUCAAAAAAACCAUGGUAACAUUGAAUUUGUUGUAUAUAUUUUUUUGUAGCAGUGACUUCUUUACUACGAACCGCCAACUAUGAUAAAACUUUUUUCACGGCCAAUGUGAUAUAUUUUUUUUACCACACCAAAAUCAAAAUGAAUGUUUUUUACCACACUCUAAAUCUCCGUAGCAAGAUUACAAUUUGACCACUGUUUUGUAAAUUGUUGCUAAUCUUAUUUGCUAAAAUUUUAGUAAAUAUAAGUAAUAUAUGGUAUUAAUUGUAUUUUCCACGAUGUUUAUGCCAAUAUCUUAAAACAAUAUUAUAAUAUGAGAUGGAUAAUAUUAUGAACAGAUGAAAGAUUACCAACAAAAUCUCAAAUGCAUAAACUUUAUUUAUUUGUAUAGGAGAACAAAACACAACUUUCUCUCAAUGAUUUAUAUUCAAUUCGCACAUGUAUAGAUGCUCUCCUAUCAUGGUAAAACCUGAUACAAAAUAAAAAUAGAUAUAAAACGAAAGGGGAUUAACCCAAUAAGGUACGUAGGCAAAGUCAAGCAUUGGGUAACUAAGUGCUAAAUAGGCACCUCAUUAUUUAAUAAAAUAUAUAUUAAUAUGCUUUGUUGACGCAUGAAUUUAGAUAUGAAUUUUAUCUGCUGGAAUUUUCUAAUGAUAUGGUGCUUAGGAAUCAUUUGGUAGUUUGUAAGAACGGUGUGAAGAUGCAUAAAGUGGGAUCAAUUUUAUUAUCAGUUGGUGGAAUGAUGAGGAGGAGUAAAAGAUGAAAAUAUGAUGAAGAUGAAGAGAGAUGAAUGAAAUAUAGGUGGAAAAGAAACAGAAAGUCCAUGAGGAACAAGGAAAGGGCAGCAAAGGAAACAACACUUUGUAAGGAUUGAUGAAAAGGAGGGGGCCAUAUUUGAGUUGUGAUUUGUGGUGAUAACAUAUAUGGGAUAACCAAGUUUUAAUACUUCAAUGCAUAACAUACCACUCUUCGGUCCUCCAAUUGGAUUUUUCGUGUUGAUUAUCAAAAUUACCACUAUUAUGGCCAUCGAUUGUUUUUUAAAGUUAAUCACUCUAACCAUAAAUGACGAACAUGGUUUUAAAAACUGUAUAAUUGCUACGGAAAGUUAAUUGACUAGCUUAUUAUUUGUGUCCAUUUUAACUUUCUAUUCCAUGCGUUUGGUAAUCAACUCUAUCUUUCUUGUCCUAUGCCCACUCAAAAAUAAUUUCUUUUUUCAAUAUUUAUAACAAGUAACGUUGUNNNNNNNNNNNNNNNNNNNNNNNNNNNNNNNNNNNNNNNNNNNNNNNNNAAUUUUAGUAAAUAUAAGUAAUAUAUGGUAUUAAUUGUAUUUUCCACGAUGUUUAUGCCAAUAUCUUAAAACAAUAUUAUAAUAUGAGAUGGAUAAUAUUAUGAACAGAUGAAAGAUUACCAACAAAAUCUCAAAUGCAUAAACUUUAUUUAUUUGUAAAUAGGAGAACAAAACACAACUUUCUCUCAUGAUUUAUAUUCAUUCCACAUGUAUAAUGCUCUCCUAUCAUGGUAAACUGAUACAAAAUAAAAAUAGAUAUAAAACGAAGGGAUUAAACCCAUAAGUACGUAGGCAAAGUCAAGCAUUGGUAACUAAGUGCUAAAUAGCACCACUUAUUUAAUAAAAUAUAUAUUAAUAUGCUUUGUUGGACGCAUGAUUUAGAUAUGAAUUUUAUCUGCUGGAAUUUUUCUAUGAUAUGGUGGCUUAGAAUCAGUUGGUGGUUUGUAAGGACGGGGUGAAGAUGCAUAAAGUGGAUCAAUUUUAUUAUCAGGUGGUGAUGGAUUAUGAGGAGCAAAAUGAUGAAAAAUACGAUGAAGAUGAUGAACAAGAUCAGGAGGAAGAUGAGGAACAAUUUUAUUAACAGAAACAGAAAGUCCAUGAGGAACAAGGAUAAGGGAAGCAAGGAACAACACUUGUAAGGAUUGGAAAAAGGAGGCCAUAUUUGAAGUUGUGAUUUGUGUGUGCAUAACAUAUAUGGGAUAACCAAGUUUUAUACUAAUCAAGUGCAUAACACUCUUAGGUUUCCAUUGGAUUUUUCUGUGUUGAUUAUUCAAAAAUGUACAACUAUUAUGGCCCAUCGGGUUGUUACAAGUUAUCACUCUAACCAUUAAUGACGACAUGGUUUUAAAAUUGUAUAAUUGCUACGGAAGUUAAUUGACUAGCUUAUUAUUUCUGUCCAUUACUUUCUAUUCCGUAUUCUCCAUCAAAAAUAAUUGCAAGCAAAAUAUUUGUACUAUUUCCAUCGUUUGGUAUAUUAUCUUUCUUGUCCCUAUGUCACUAAGAAAUAAUUUAUUGUUCACAUUUUGAAAUGAUAUCAUUAAAAAAUGGAGGGUCUUAUAGUAUGUGAAAUUUUGUUGAAUCCAGUUCCAAAUAUUCACAAGACAAAAUCAAUUUAACAAUUAAAUGUAAUUUUAAAAUAUUAAAUAUAAAAAAAAAUAUUAUUAAAUGGUUAGAUGUAACCAAACUCUAAAUUAUCAAUUUUUAUGUUAAAUGUAAAAAUAUUUUAAGCCAUUAAACUUUUUUAUAAAUGAAUGUAAAUAAAGAGGCUAGAAAUAACCUAAUUGGAGUACCUUUGUAGCAGUUUUAGUUCCUCCAAAUAAAGCAUCAUGCCAUGCUGACAAGAUCUGGCUUGCCUCUAGGUACACUACAAGAAAAAUGAUAAGUUAUUUUUGAAAGGUUACGCCAUUUUGAACCAUAUCAAUAGUUGCGUCACAAAGGUUGUGGUUCUGAAACAAAAGCGUGUGUCGUUAGGUUGUACUGCUUCGGUUGCUAAAAUCGUCAUUCCAACAAAUGUUCUAAAUUGCGACAGGUAGUCAACUGCAGUAAAUGGACAAUUGCGACAGUUACAAACCGUCAUAAAUUUAGUUUGAGUUAUGUUUUCAACUCUAGUUGCGACGAAUUCAAAAUAUCGUGAGUGUGAUAUCCUAACUGUUCAAACCAUCACAAUUUGAUUUAUAAAUUCUGAAAUAAUUUAUUUGAUAACUGUUUAAAGCGAUACUAAUUUUUAAACUUUUAGCAAUGGUUUCAAGUCGUCGUGAGUGUGAAAUCCUGACAGUUUAAACCAUCGUAAGUUGAUUUAUAAGUUAUGAUAUAUAAUUUAUUUGGUAACUGUUUAAAACGAUGCUAGUAUUUUUAUAUUUCUUUAAUUUAUUAACAUUUCAAUUUUUUUAUUUAUAGUCAUGUUUUUUUUCUUUAAAUUAUUAUUUUUGUUUUAGUAAUAUUUCUUUAAGUUUUUUAUUUAUUUUCUAUCACUUUAUAACAUAAUAAAAUUUCAAUCACAAACAUCUAAUAUCGGAUAAGUAUCAUAAUACCAAAAAAUUGUGGCUUUAAUCAUGUCAUGUAGUACAAUAAAACGAAAACAUAUCAAAUCCUAAUGUUAUAAUAAUAAGCAUCAUAAUGCCAAAAAACAUAGGAACGUUCAUAAUACAAUUAAUUUGUAGCAAAUUCUAAUUAGUUGUUCUUAAUGAUCUAUUAUCUUCAAUACGGUAGCUAGACUCAGAAGAAUAUUUACUGUCAAUGAGUGAUUCUAAGUGUGAUCCUUAGAAAAAAUCUAAUAAAAUAAUAUACUCUUUAAAAUAAUACUCGUGAUCUUUAACAUUUCUCAACUUUUCUCCAGUCUCCAAUGGUGUAACAGUUGCAUUAUAGUUACUCAUCAUGAACCUCUGCAAGAUUUCUUAGGCUUACUUCGCUUGAUGCUGAUGUAAGACCCUAAUUUUAACCCUAAGAUCCCUCAUGGGAUCAUGUUAUUGCACAAGUGCAUUGCCUCAAGGAUCAUAGCAUGUUUGGCUCCUUAACCCUAGGGUUGGGACUUGUUUGAGUGUUUUGAGACCACCAAGCAUGCUUGUAUUGUAUAUUAUUGCUUCUCUUAUUUGAUUACUAACCAAAAGCACAAAAAUAUGUCACUAACUCUUUUUGUUUUGAAGCUCAAGUGAUCAUGUGCUCCACAAUGCUCUUAGGAGGCUCCUAAGCCCAAUGCAAUGGCUAGAUGAAGAUGAGAAAAAGCAUGAAAAUGGUCCACAAAGCUCCUAAUAAUCAUAUAUGUCUCCCAAGGAAACCCUAAUUUCACUGUGCUUUGACUGUGCCUUGCCCAUGAAGCAAUCUCAAUCUCUGAUCAAAUUUAAUCAAGGGAAGUUCUUUCAUUUAUCAUUUUAUGCAUAUAUAAGCCUAUUUGAGGCCCCUCAAUCAUUUAUUCAUCAAGAUUGGAAGUUUGACUUUGAAAAGUUGACCACUUAAGUCAUCUGACUAAGCUGAGGUUCAAUGAGCUAUAAUUUUUAAUGUGUUUGUCAAAUGAAGAUGACCCAAAAAUAAAUAAUUCUCCUAAUAACCAUAUUAACAACUUUCAUGUUCAUCCAAAUCCAUUUGAAACUUGGAAGGUUAUCAUUAAUUUCAAAAUAUUAGAGGUCAUUUUGACCGAAACCCUAAUUUUGGGUCAACUUGACAAGGGCAUAACUUCCUUAAUUUUUAUGUUGUACAAAACUUCAUAAUCCUAAAAUAAAUACAUGUGAUAAUGCAAAACAUUAUAGGUCCUCUUGGACCUAAUUCAUUGAAUUUGCAAAAGUACCCAACUUCAAAUGCCCAUAACUUUGUCAUAGAAAAUCCAAAUGAUGCAAACUUUGAGUCUAGAUUGACCCUCUUGAAACUAUUUACAACUUUGAUGUUGGAGAUUUUUUCAAUUGAAGCUUGUACCAUGAAGGCAGAGGGGCUUGAUUAAGCUUACUUUUGGGUGACUUUUUCAAAAUGAUUUGAAUAUGUUUUAUACUUGAAUUUUCCAAGCCAGUUUUGAUCAAUUUGAUGCCAAAUGAUUACUUGUUUUAAUUACUUGUUUUAAUUCGUUGUGUUGCGCGUUUGACUUGAGCAUAUCGUGUGUCCUCAGAUCCAGACCAUACAUCAGUGCCACGUCAAUUAAUGAACUGGAUCUUGUGGCUCUGCUUCUUCGCUUAUUUCAUUUUUUCUUUUAUAUUCUUUUAAUUCAUUUCGUUUUCAAAAAUUCAUUAAAAAUUCAUUUUAGGUCAGAAAAAUAUGAGACCAACUCUAAAAAUUUUCUUGAAAAUUCUAGUUUCAUAUUAUGAUUUUUAAUUAUUUUUGUGACUUCAUUUGAUAUUUUUUAUGAAUUACUUGGUUUUUAAUGAGUUUAAUUCAUUUUUAAAAUACUUUCUGACUUUUAAAAAAUACAAAAAUAUUUUCAUAGCAUCUAUGGAUCAUGAUAAGUCAAUGAAAAAUGGUCUCAACAAUUUCUUGGUUGUUUUUAGUUGAUUUUAAUUACUUUCUGAUUUUAAAAAUUUGUGAGAAAAUUAGUCAAAGUUUGUUUGACUAUGUUAAACCUAUGAGAAUUUAAUUGGAAUUUUUGAAGUUACUUUGAAUUGAAUUUGAGGUUCCAUUUUGUUUGUUUAUUUUUUAUUUGUAUUUUCUUCUAAUUCAAAAAAUACCAAAAAAAUAUUGUGGACUCCUUGACUUGUUAUAUUAUUGGAAUUUUUGAAGUUACUUUGAAUUGAAUUUGAGGUUCCAUUUUGUUUGUUUAUUUUUUAUUUGUAUUUUCUUCUAAUUCAAAAAAUACCAAAAAAAUAUUGUGGACUCCUUGACUUGUUAUAUUCAUUUCUCUUUUGUUUGGUGUUGAUUGAGGUUGAAUUGAUUCAACUUUGAUCAAAUUCAUUGGAUCUUGUGGUUUGAGAAUCCUUAAAGAUCAUCACUUAGAAAGAUGAAUGAAUUUGAUCAAGGAUGAGUUAUCCCUUGAUCAAUUGGGAUUGGUUGUUGUUGAACGUAUAUUUACGUGUCGGGUUUUUGUUAUCGUAUCCACAGGGAUUGUAAGAUAUCACCGCCGUUCGAUGGUUGUAUUAAUUCUAGCUCAAUGAAACAAUAGGGUUUUGAUUGGUUGUCACGUUAUCUUGCAUAAAAAGGUAUUAAAUUGCGGUAAAAGUUAUGGUUUGAAUAAAUGAGAAAUAUUGCCAAAGUUAGGGUUCAAUGAUUACUUUGCAUCCUUUAGUUGGUCGAACAAUCUUAUAACUCCUUCUCCAGAUGAAAUUUUCCAAGGUCCUCUCAAAUUGCGUUUCUCUCGCAGCAGCUGACCCAAUAUGUGGUUUGCAUUUUGAUCCAUUGUUUUUCUCAUCGAACACAAUCUAUCUAAAAGUGACACUUUUGUUCAACCUUGAUGGUGAAAUAAAAAUCAUUCUAUGUAACUAUCUCUAGCAACAACAAGAUUGGAUGAA